GAACCAUUAAAGAAGCUGAGAAAAGGGGAAACAACUCAGUUAGGAAACUUGCUGAGGAGAACCGAGAUAAGAUUCAAAAAGCUGUUCAGAACCCUGGAAAAAUAACCCUUGCUGACGACUUUACUGAACUUGAAAGGCUGAUGGCAGAAAUGACCUUGGGAGACAAUUAAUGGUCAGUUUACACUGCUGGCUGACCAACGAUUCUGUUGCUGUCCACAAAUCCACCAAUACCUGUAUAGCACACUAUCAAUUUUUAAUUCUAAUACAUUCUUUAAAUGUAUUUCUUAACACUCCGGCCGUCUCCCACCGAGGUAGGGUGACCCGACAAAAAAGAAAACACUUUCACUGUCACUCGUUCAAUGAUUAUCUUACCAGGAGCAUGAUGACAUUACAGUUCAGACGACCUUCCAAACCGCUUCCAUCACAACACAAUGUAUUUUCCACCUCCAGGACUCAAACCUAACUAACCACUUUCAUGAAUUUCAAAAAAAUAAUGAUAACUUGCUGACACUCCAACAACACGUCAAAUCACAAAGACAACUUCUCUCUACUGAUGCCUAUCUAAGAG
Non-coding RNA from Cherax quadricarinatus, 568 nucleotides. NCBI's taxonomy places the organism in Eukaryota, Metazoa, Arthropoda, Malacostraca, Decapoda, Parastacidae. The record is from RefSeq and is a predicted model, not a curated record.